RNAcentral lists this ribosomal RNA (255 nucleotides) under uncultured bacterium. RNAcentral's name for it is "partial 16S ribosomal RNA". It matches the Rfam family "Bacterial small subunit ribosomal RNA", at positions 524 to 778 of the family's 1533-position model. The record is from RNAcentral.
UACGGAGGGUGCAAGCGUUAAUCGGAAUUACUGGGCGUAAAGCGUGCGUAGGCGGUUCGUUAAGUCUGUUGUGAAAGCCCCGGGCUCAACCUGGGAAUGGCAAUGGAUACUGGCGAGCUAGAGUGUGUCAGAGGAUGGUGGAAUUCCCGGUGUAGCGGUGAAAUGCGUAGAGAUCGGGAGGAACAUCAGUGGCGAAGGCGGCCAUCUGGGACAACACUGACGCUGAGGCACGAAAGCGUGGGGAGCAAACAGGGA